RNAcentral lists this long non-coding RNA (220 nucleotides) under Musa acuminata (dwarf banana). Its description in RNAcentral is "long non-coding RNA (MACU_LNC009181)". The record is from RNAcentral. Lineage: Eukaryota; Viridiplantae; Streptophyta; Magnoliopsida; Zingiberales; Musaceae.
UGGCAUCUCGCUGCCCUUCCACAGCCAUCCAUCAACCCUCCACAACCGUCCAAAGCAAUUCCCACAAUUGCUUAAAAGAUCAUCACCGAAUUCCGCCAUCAUCUCUACCACCACGGAUCAUCCUUCGAUCUCCCUGUGAAUUGCAACAGGUUCUGGUUUCCUACCUUACUGCUGCUGCAAUUUAGUUAUCCUUAUUCGAAAAUCAAAAAAAAAAAAAUCG